CUUGAUGACCUGGCACCACACACCAAUCUGCCACAAGAGCAGUGGAAUAACAGGAAGAGAAAUGGUGUUUACAGGUUCCUUUUUCUUUUUCCAACAGGAGUUUUUCUAGGAUUCAAUUUCACAAUUCAUGAACUUUUACAUUACAAAUGGAGACUCGUGAACAAAAACUCAAGCAUCAACAUCACUAAAAAGAUCCGUGGAGAACAUAGAGUAAGCUGAAUUAUUGCAGAAAGAAAAGGUACAAAUUCAUAUUGCAAAUAUCAACAAAUAGACAUUUAUUCAAAUCCAAAGGAAUUGGUAAAUUUUUUGUACAAAAAUAUUGACAAAAAGAAAUAGAAAAUACUUCUAUGAGGCUAAUGAAUAAAAAAUUUUUGGUUUACAUGGAGUGUAAACAUUAUAUUCCAAGAUUCAGCUCAAAAAGAUGUUGAAUGCUAGCACUCUGGAAUAAUAAGGGUCAAAGUAGAGAAUGAGAAAUUUGGUGAGAUGAGCAACCAUAAAUGUUAUAAUCAUACUUCGCUAAAUUAACACUGGGCACUUUGUUAUAUAUUUGUAUGAGUGGGCUUGAGUUGUAACAAGAUACAAGUACAGAAUAAGUAAAUAACAGUUUGAACUAUGAAUCCGUGCUUCAUAGAUACGGAAGUGUAGCAUUCCAAAGACAUGAUGUAUCUCUGUUGAUCAAUUUAUGUAUAACCAUCUUGGGAGGAUUUUUCAUGGAUAGCGAAGCACCUGAAGAGUAUAACUUGUUCAGAUAGAAACAACAUGGCAUUUAGACCAAGCACAUUUGUAAUUAUGUCUACAUCAAAGGGGGCCUAUCUAGCUAUCUGAAAUGAAUUAAUGUGAAUUACUUAGCCUUAGAAUGGAGUUAAGAUAAUAAUGCAACACUUCACCUGAACGUUGAGCAAUUGGAUUU
RNAcentral lists this unclassified non-coding RNA (910 nucleotides) under Hevea brasiliensis (rubber tree). The record is from RNAcentral. Lineage: Eukaryota; Viridiplantae; Streptophyta; Magnoliopsida; Malpighiales; Euphorbiaceae.